This 225-nucleotide long non-coding RNA is filed under the name Bos taurus (domestic cattle). RNAcentral describes it as "long non-coding RNA NONBTAT025924". The record is from RNAcentral. Lineage: Eukaryota; Metazoa; Chordata; Mammalia; Artiodactyla; Bovidae.
GGAUCUCUGAACAUUUUGCAUGGAAAAUUUUUUUCUGUAUCACUUGUAAUACUGCUGAAUCUUAAGGAAUUUUCUGGUAUUUCAAAUUUUGUAAAAAUUUGUGGACCUGUGUUUCUUUAACAAAUUUUAGGGAUAGAUACUACCCUAAAAUUAUUAGAAUAACUAGAAAUGUUAGAUAUUAGGAUAUUAGGAAAAUGUUGAAAACAAUGAAGAGAAGUAUUUAGC